CCUACGGGAGGCAGCAGUGGGGAAUUUUGGACAAUGGGCGAAAGCCUGAUCCAGCAAUGCCGCGUGAGUGAAGAAGGCCUUCGGGUUGUAAAGCUCUUUUGUCAGGGAAGAAACGGUGAAAGCUAAUAUCUUUUGCUAAUGACGGUACCUGAAGAAUAAGCACCGGCUAACUACGUGCCAGCAGCCGCGGUAAUACGUAGGGUGCAAGCGUUAAUCGGAAUUACUGGGCGUAAAGCGUGCGCAGGCGGUUUUGUAAGUCUGAUGUGAAAUCCCCGGGCUCAACCUGGGAAUUGCAUUGGAGACUGCAAGGCUAGAAUCUGGCAGAGGGGGGUAGAAUUCCACGUGUAGCAGUGAAAUGCGUAGAUAUGUGGAGGAACACCGAUGGCGAAGGCAGCCCCCUGGGUCAAGAUUGACGCUCAUGCACGAAAGCGUGGGGAGCAAACAGGAUUAGAUACCCUGGUAGUCCACGCCCUAAACGAUGUCUACUAGUUGUCGGGUCUUAAUUGACUUGGUAACGCNGCGUACGCGUGAGUAGACCGCCGUGGGUAAGGUACGGUCGUUCGAGUAAGUUAAACGUUACGAAGAGUUAGUUGCGNGNGAGACGCGACGGACGACGACGACGGAGGAGGAGG
RNAcentral lists this ribosomal RNA (632 nucleotides) under uncultured bacterium. RNAcentral describes it as "bacterial SSU rRNA". The stretch from base 1 to 541 matches the Rfam family "Bacterial small subunit ribosomal RNA", at positions 338 to 873 of the family's 1533-position model. The record is from RNAcentral.